This 6364-nucleotide long non-coding RNA is filed under the name Brassica rapa (field mustard). Its description in RNAcentral is "long non-coding RNA (BRAP_LNC002704)". Lineage: Eukaryota; Viridiplantae; Streptophyta; Magnoliopsida; Brassicales; Brassicaceae. The record is from RNAcentral.
CUAUAAAGUUCCAGACAGGCUUAAGGAAGGUGCUGGAGAGGAAGCCGUUGCCGGAGAAGAGGAACGGACCGAGGAACGCGAAGUUCACCGCGCAGUCAUCGACCUUACGCGGGCGGUGGUGGAGGUGAGUCUCUCCUUGGUAUGCUCCGUUGAGGUUUCGUAUGAUGGAUACGACGGAGAAAGCGAAAACGAUCACGAGAGCGCGUAGGAUCACGCGCCUACGGAAGGAGGUGGGCGUUAGUUUCAGCUCAACGCCCAUGGCGAGGAAGAAGAAGAGAAGAGGAAUCCAACAGUUAAAACAAGAAUCGGAUCUUUACUUACUCAGAAAGAGAGAUUCAAUUUAGGAGGAAGGAAGAAGGAUUUAGCGAGUGCAAAACCUGGAGGAGGUAUGGUUUCCACCCACGAGGAUAACUAUUGUGUUUUGUAAACAUAACCACACCCUUCUCGGUUCUCUUCUCUGCAUCUCAUCCAUUUUUUUUUCUGUUUCACCCAACCAUCAGAGAUCUAAUCUUACAUGGUACGUGUAUGAUCCACUUCGAUGAUGAUGUUUCUUCUCUUUAUUUCUAAGGCGAGAUUUGGGAAUUAGGGUUUUGAGAUUGGGAAUCUGAAGAGUGAGAUAAGGCAACGAGAGAUCUGUGAUUCUCUCGGAAGCAAAGAGAUGAAGUAAUAAAGUGACUACUGCGAAGAAGAGAGAGUGUGUGUGUGAUGACGUUAUCAUGCCACGUGGUUCGCGUGAAGCCCUUCGAUGUGUAACUGAAUGUUAUGGCAUUAUUAAUAUGCACAACUCCCGAUGGACUGAUAAUUCAGAUUAAGAAAGAGAUUACGUCAAAAUAAAUGUUUAUUGGCGAUAAUUCUGAAGAAAUGGUAUAAACUUUCUUUUUUUAUAUAUAUAUACUUCCAUUAGUCUCGAGUUUAUUCUUCUCUAAUUUAUUAGUUUAAAAAUCACGAAAGUAGCGGUUUCAAUCUAAGUAAACCAAUUCGAUUCGGAACCUAAUCGAUCAAACCGAUCCGGGUGGACCAAGCCUUACAGUUUUUCACAUGUCUGUCUUAAUAAUACUAAUUAGGGUGGCUUAUUUAAUAGGUGGUGUGGCUUAUAGUUCGGAGAGUGAAUCCAAUCCACCGACACUCGAGAUAUCGACGUUAUACGAUUCUGUGAAUUGGGAGCAAUAAUUAUCGGCGGAGAAUCGAAAAAGAAUAUUUCUUGCAAUUAUUGUAUUUUGUUACAGCUGUCUUGAAUCUUGAGUGGUACCUAGACAUCACUAGCUUAAGCUAAAGCUGAAUAGAGAGAGCAACAGCAACAAAAAAAAAGACAUUAUUGCAUUUGCAACUAAUCUCGGGUUAUCCUUUUAGAAUUUGUAAGUAAACUCAUUUUAACCACUCAUGUGUGGUGGGACAGUAAUAAGGUUUUCAAACACCUUUACGUACGUAUCUAUACAUAGUUCAUGACACUUUGAGAGUUGAGACUAGGAACUAAUUGUUAUUAGAACUGAACACGGAUCCGGGAGAGAGCAAUAAUACCCCUACUAUGAGUUUAGGAAGCCUUUGGAAAAACUGUGUAUAAUCAAAAAAUAAUACCCCUACUAUAGCAACUAAUUCUACUUUUACUUCCAGCAAAAACUGCCAAUUUAUAAAAGUGCGGCGAAAAACGCUCUGGCGACGGCGAUGGCGAUAUAUUUCUAGGGUUUUGAUGAUUGAUCGAGAUUGGGAUCCGGGAUCUCAGAGGAAGAUUGGGGAUCGAGGAGAUCUAUGGCUUGGGGGAAGGGAAAGCAAAUCGAAUUCGUCUAUUGGAGAUUCGGAUUUUGAUUCGUUAGCGAUAACAUUGAGGGGUGAUCCACAGGCUUUCCAUAGGUUGGGAAGAAGGAUCGCGGUUGUUAGGAAAUCGUUAUUAUUGGGAUCUUUCAUAUGGAUGCAGUAUCCAGAAGAUCAAUCAUACGAAUUACAAGGUAUGGGAUUUGGUAUAAUCGAAAGAUCCUCUUUCGCUUCUAUUUUGGAAAGUGGUAAUCUGUCUUCCCGAUUACAUCAUUUUUUAGGGGGAAAAAUAUGGAGGCACUUGGAUUUUAAAGGGAUUUUUCUUCGUGGUUUGGGGGUUUUCAAUUUAACGUAUGGAGGUUGGUGCGUUAAGGAUAUUAGGUUUUUGCAGGAGAAACAAAAAUUGUUUUCAAACAUUCUUAAGAUUAGCUUGAAUGUACUUAAAGGUGAUAUCUUUUAUUUUCUUCGUAUGAGUAUCUUGUUUGAAGGAAAGGGGAUGCGAGGAAUGAAUGUGGGAGUCGAUAAUUGUAUGCUGUCACGAACUCAAUGUAUCUUUCACAGGUUGGCAAGGUCUUGCAGAUGGGUAAGGGCUUAUGGGGUGGAGCGUAACCAAGAACGAGAAGGGUGGGAUGCUCGAUCUCACGGUAAUGGAUGGUUUCUGCAAAUUCAAAUCCCAAAUGAAUGUUGGGUUAUAGGGUUUGAGGUUUUAUUUGGUGCAUGGAGGCUUGCAUUAGGGAUUGCAAUAUUGGCACUUUGUCUCUUCCCUAGCAGGAACAAAGAUAUACGGUGUCUGGAUAGUAGGUUGAGCAAGUAUUGGGUCAAGCUAACAGUAAAGAAUUACGUCUUUUUGGUUUGUAUAUAUAUUGGUCUUUGGGAUUAUGAUAUUGUUGGAGGCACAUUUGGUCGGUCUUGUUACUAUAUGGUUUGGAUUUGUGAUUGGGCCUACUUAUAUAUGGAUCGAGAAUUCUUGUAUUUUAUGGACAUGCUAUGUGUAUUGGUUCUACGGCAACUGGUAAUUAGGAGCUUUUUGUUGUUAUUUCAGAUAGUAAUUUAUAUGGUAUUUGGGAAAAUAAUGAAUUACAAGAGGCGAUUGGAGUUUGGCAAUUUGUGUUUGUUUAGAUAUUUUCCUAAUAUUUUACUUGCUCACAGGAUAUACAAGUGGUUUCUUUGGAGGCUUCAAGGAAUUUUUUUAAGGGAGGGAGUGGAGACAGUCCUUUUAUCAUGGGGUUUAGAAAUUUUAGGGUCUCAUUAUACCCAAUUUAGCCAGCUCAGCAGAGCCUUUCUAUAUUUUUUUAAAUGAGAGUACUAAGUUGGAAUUGCAGAGGAAUGGGAAGUAAGUGGAGUAUAAGUUAUUUAACAGAGAUAUGGCAUAAACAUAAACCUAAUUUUUUAUUUUUAUCGGAAACAAAACAAGAAUUUGAGCUUGUCCAGAAAUUUCAAGCUCAUUUCGGAUUUGAUAAUCUGGUCACAGUGGAUCCAGUGGGACGAAGUGGUGGAUUGGCGCUUUAUUACAAUAAUGAGUUCCAGGUUAAUAUUCUAUAUUCAAGUAAUCGAAUGAUAGAUGUAGAAGCAGUGGCGUUGGGAAAAACGGUAUAUAUGACGUUUGUGUAUGGAGAUCCAGUUCAAGAUUUGCGAGAACGAGUGUGGAAACAUUUAACUAGAUAUGGAAUUUCCCGAUCCGAGCCAUGGUUUAUUAUUGGUGAUUUAAAUGAGAUUACAGGAAAUCAUGAAAAAGAAGGUGGAGCUUUGAGAAGUGCGAAUUCAUUUGUUCCUUUUAACAACAUGAUAAGGAAUUGUGGUUUACUGGAGUUUCCUGCCAAAGGAAAUAAAUUGUCAUGGCAAGGAAGAAGAGGGAAAGGAAAAGGGGCAGUAACGGUUAGAUGUCGUUUAGAUCGAGCAUUGGCAAAUGAGGAGUGGCACACGCUAUUUCCUUGUUCCUAUACAGAAUAUUUAGGGUUGGUGGCAUCGGAUCAUCGUCCAGUGGUGGCUUACAUAGAAACUAAAGUUAUCAGGAGAAAAGGACAAUUUAGGUUUGAUAAAAGGACAAUUUUGGUUCUCGGGUAACAUUUUCAUCUUGUAGAUAUUUAGUUAUUUCUCGUAUUUGUUUGAUUUUGGGUAUUUUUGUGUUCUGAUUUUUUGGUUUUUCAGAUUCUUUAGAUCUUUUUGUCCUAAAUACUCGAACUGAGUUAGACUCAUUACGUAACCAAAUUACAUCAUAAAUUUUAUAAAUACUUGAAUCAUUGACUCAAACUGACCUGGAACUAAAAAGAACUGAUAUGAACAAAAAAUUGAAAUACCUAGUUAUAUAUAAAUGCCCAAGACCCAAAGAACUUGUACCUCAAAGAAACCGAUUUAUAUUUGAUCUGAAGACCCAAAUGCCCAAAUCUAACCUUUCAUUAUAUUUUGUGCAUUUUAUAAAAAUUACAUUUGUUCAGUUGGUGAAACUUAAGAUUUAUUUGAGAAGUUUUUGGCUAAUUUAAUAGUAUAGAUUUGUAGGUUUUUUGUUGAGCAGUAAAAAAAAGAUUUGUUGGGUUUUUGAUAAUUUUAAACUUAUCUUAAAUACUAAAUUGUUUUUUUAUCAAUAUAAUAAAAUUUACAUAAUAUAUAAUUUUUAAACUUAUCUUAAUUAUGAAGUUAAUGAGACAUAUUUAGAGAAGAAUAUAAUAAAGUGUACAUAUAUUAUAUUUUCGUGAACCAAAUUUAUGUGAUCGUAUAUAUAUGAUAUAUCUUUUCGUUUUCAAUAUUAUUAAUUAAUGAAAAGGUCCGAACAACAUUUUUAAGUAAUUUAUUAAAACUUGUCCGUUUUAGUAGUAUUCAUUUCUGCUUAAGUGCUUGAGUUAAGCCCAUAUAUAUUUGAGUUGGGUUGUGUCACGAGAGGAUAAAUUCGUAACUUACAUCGGGGCGCAAAUAUAAGCCCAUUAGGUUUCAACCUCAGCUUCUUCAAAAACCCUAAAAUCUCAUUUUCACUUCACUGCGCCUCCCACACUCAACAAAACAAGAGCCGAAACCACAAACUCUAACAACCAUGCCGCCCAAGUUGGACCCGAGCCAGAUCGUCGACGUCUACGUCCGCGUGACCGGAGGAGAAGUCGGAGCCGCCAGUUCCCUCGCCCCCAAGAUCGGUCCCCUCGGUCUCGCCCCAAAGAAGAUCGGAGAAGACAUCGCCAAGGAGACAGCCAAAGAGUGAAAGGACUCCGCGUCACCGUCAAGCUCACCGUUCAGAACCGUCAGGCGAAAGUCACGGUGGUUCCGUCCGCCGCUGCUCUCGUCAUCAAGGCCUUGAAGAGCCGGAGAGAGACAGGAAGAAGGUGAGAGAACAUCAAGCACAAUGGCAACAUUUCGUUUGAUGACGUGAUCGAGAUCGCUAGGAUCAUGAGGCCUAGGUCGAUUGCGAAGGAGCUGAGCGGGACUGUGAGGGAGAUUCUGGGGACGUGUGUCUCUGUUGGGUGCACUGUUGAUGGGAAGGACCCCAAGGAUCUUCAGCAGGAGAUUCAAGAGGGUGAGAUUGAGAUCCCUGAGAACUAAUGAAUCAAAAGAAAAGAAAUUAUCUUUUUAGUUUUGGGUUGUUGUUUCGUUUUGUUAUCUCUGUUUAAGAAUAUUUUGUGGUUUUGAUUAUGAGAAUUUGAGAUUGCGUUUGAUGUUCUAUGCUAUUGGUAUCUACAAAGUUUUGAGCUUUGAUCUGUUUUGGUUUUGAUCAUUAUUUUUUGCUUAUUGGAUGGUAGAAAGUGGGCAUUUUCAGGCUUUUUUAUUUGAUUUCUAGACUGGUUCUUGUUUACCGCAUAGGUAUUAGUGCUAAGCUUUCGACACUGGUUCUUGUUCAUCCUAACUCUUCGCUCUUCAUGUUGAUUAUCACCUAAGGAAGCAACAUGAUGAGACUGAUCCAAACCGAAACUAUCUUCACCAUGUCUCCUGAACACAAUCAAAACCUGCUCACCUAAGGAAGCACAUGAACAACACUCGAGUUCUUGAGCAGAGAAGAAACAGGCGAGGACGGAUCUAACCAACCCGUUAGAGUCAGACCCAACAAGCAUAGCUCCGGUUCCACCGGGCUAAGCACACGCUCGAUUUCGUAAACAAGUGAAGCAGGGACUAAAACCGUCUCAAGAUCCAUAGAAAAGACAAACCCGAAAGAAGCAUCAUCAUAACGUAGCUCACUAGUGAACUUCCUGUGCUUGAAAGCAAAAACAGGCGGCGCGUGGCUCACGCGAGCAUCAGAGAUCCCUUGUAGGUUCAUAGCGAGAAGAGCUGAAACCGAACUCCGGCCAAUACAGAGAGCUCUCGCGUCGUUACUCAGCAAGUUCAAACCUUUAAGCUCGGCGACGACUUGAGUAGUCAAGUCGAUGUUCGUCUUACACUUGUCCGACUCUAUAAAGCUCCAAACUGGCUUAAGGAAGGUGUUGGAGAGGAAGCCGUUGCCGGAGAAGAGGAACGGACCGAGGAACGCGAAGUUCACCGCGCAAUCAUCGACCUUACGCGGGCGGUGGUGGAGGUGAGUCUCUCCUUGGUAUGCUCCGUUGAGGUUUCGUAUGAUGGAUACGACGGAGAAAGCGAAAACGAUCACGAGAGCGCGUAGGAUCACGCGCCUACGGAAGGAGGUGGGCGUUAGUUUCAGCUC